This 274-nucleotide ribosomal RNA is filed under the name uncultured bacterium. RNAcentral's name for it is "partial 16S ribosomal RNA". It matches the Rfam family "Bacterial small subunit ribosomal RNA", at positions 523 to 796 of the family's 1533-position model. The record is from RNAcentral.
AUACGGAGGGUGCAAGCGUUAUCCGGAAUCAUUGGGUUUAAAGGGUCCGUAGGCGGAUUGGUAAGUCAGUGGUGAAAGUCUGCAGCUUAACUGUAGAAUUGCCAUUGAUACUGCUAGUCCUGAAUUACUGUGAAGUGAUUAGAAUGUGUAGUGUAGCGGUGAAGUGCAUAGGUAUUACACAGAAUACCAAUUGCGAAGGCAGAUCACUAACAGUAUAUUGACGCUGAGGGACGAAAGCGUGGGGAGCGAACAGGAUUAGAAACCCUAGUAGUCC